RNAcentral lists this ribosomal RNA (253 nucleotides) under uncultured bacterium. RNAcentral's name for it is "partial 16S ribosomal RNA". It matches the Rfam family "Bacterial small subunit ribosomal RNA", at positions 524 to 776 of the family's 1533-position model. The record is from RNAcentral.
UACGUAGGGUGCGAGCGUUAAUCGGAAUUACUGGGCGUAAAGCGGGCGCAGACGGUUACUUAAGCAGGAUGUGAAAUCCCCGGGCUCAACCUGGGAACUGCGUUCUGAACUGGGUGACUAGAGUGUGUCAGAGGGAGGUAGAAUUCCACGUGUAGCAGUGAAAUGCGUAGAGAUGUGGAGGAAUACCGAUGGCGAAGGCAGCCUCCUGGGAUAACACUGACGUUCAUGCCCGAAAGCGUGGGUAGCAAACAGU